This is a long non-coding RNA of Panthera uncia (snow leopard), 5003 nucleotides long. RefSeq lists it as uncharacterized. Lineage: Eukaryota; Metazoa; Chordata; Mammalia; Carnivora; Felidae. The transcript has 2 exons. The record is from RefSeq and is a predicted model, not a curated record.
GCAUCUUGCGUCCCUGCCAUUCAGCCUGGAACACCCCCCUGCUGCCUGUAUGAAAACCUAACAGUGUGGACUAUCGUCCGGUACAAGAUCUGAGAGAAGUUAACCGCCGAGUCAUAGACAUACACCCAACAGUACCCAACCCCUAUACCCUCCUAAGUGCCCUCAGCCCAGAAAGACAAUGGUAUACUGUCCUUGAUUUAAAAGAUGCUUUUUUUCAGCCUGCCUCUGGCCCCCAAAAGUCAAGAGCUCUUCGCCUUCGAGUGGUCCGACACUGAGAGAGGCAUAAAUGGGCAUCUCACCUGGACCCGGCUCCCCCAAGGAUUUAAAAACUCACCCACCUUGUUCGAUGAGGCACUUCACGAGGAUCUGGGUGAGUACCGGAAUCAAAACCCCGAAGUGACUCUUGCAGUACGUUGACGAUCUUUUAAUUGCCGCUGAGACUGCCGAAGCUUGCUUGCAAGGCACCAAAAAUCUCCUCCGGACACUUGGUGCCCUGGGGUACCGGGCUUCAGCAAAAAAAGCCCAAAUUUGCAGAUCCGAGGUAACCUACUUGGGGUAUCUGUUAAGAAAAGGCCAACGAUGGCUCACUGAUGCACAGAAGGAAACCGUCCUCCGCAUCCCCCGACCCACAACGCGAAGGCAGACCUGGACUUGGAUACCCCCCUCCAUGACUGCGCUGAGAUAUUGGCACAGGUUCAUGGAGUUCGGGAAGAUUUACAGGAUCACCCGCUACCAGACGCUGAGGUUACCUGGUUCACUGACGGCAGCAGCUUUGUACAUCAGGGUCAAAGGUACGCGGGGGCAGCAGUCACAACUGAAACUGAGACUGUUUGGGCAGAGCCUUUGCCAGCUGGCACCUCUGCCCAACGGGCUGAACUUGUGGCCUUAACCAAGGCACUGACUUUGGGAAAAGACAAGAAACUAAACGUGUAUACCGAUAGCAGAUAUGCUUUUGCUACGGCCCACAUACAUGGAGCUAUAUACAGAGAGAGGGGACUGUUAACUGCAGAGGGGAAAACUAUCAAAAACAAAGAAGAAAUAUUGGCUCUUUUAAAGGCACUCUGGCUGCCUAAAUGACUAGCCAUCAUACAUUGCCCAGGCCACCAAAAACCGGUCACACCGGUGGCCAGAGGAAAUAAUUUGGCUGACCAGGUGGCCAGAGAGGCGGCCUUACAGGUGGACUGUGCUUUAAUGACCACCCUACCAGACCCCGGUUCAGCUAGUUUACCAGAAAAUCCUGCCUACACUAAAGAAGACCUAAACUGGAUCCAAAAAUUACCUUUAACUCAGUGCCUUAACGGAUGGUGGAGAGCAGCAAACUGUAGCAUAAUCCUCCCAGAAGAAAUGGGAAAUAAAGUCUUAUCCAAGAUGCACCGAGCCACUCAUAUGGGCACAAGAAAAAUGCAAGACUUAAUAAGACAUGCUAGGAUCACCAUUAAAGACUCCAGGACAAAAAUUGAGCAGAUAGUUACUAGCUGUAAAGCUUGCCAAUUAACUAACGCCACCAACCACGGGGAAAACCCUGGCUCCAGAACCCGCGGAACCAGGCCGGGAGCCUAUUGGGAAGUAGACUUCACCGAGGUAAAGCCUGGAAAAUAUGGAUAUAAAUAUUUGUUAGUGUUUAUAGAUACCUUUUCAGGAUGGACAGAGGCCUUCCCCACCAAGCAUGAGACUGCGCAGGUAGUAGCAAAGAAACUGUUAGAAGACAUCAUGCCCAGGUACAGAUUCCCCACCCUAAUAGGAUCAGACAAUGGACCAGCAUUCAUUUCAAAGGUAAUACAAGGGAUAGCGCAGUUUAUUGGGGCUGAUUGGAAACUACAUUGUGCAUAUAGACCCCAAAGCUCAGGACAGGUAGAAAGAAUGAAUAGAACUCUAAAAGAGACCUUAACUAAAUUGACCAUGGAGACUGGCGCUAAUUGGGUAGUCUUACUCCCCUACGCUCUGUUCAGGGUGCGGAACUCCCCUUACAAACUGGGAUUAACCCCCUUUGAAAUCAUGUAUGGAGUGCCCCCCCCCCAUAAUUCCCAACCUACAGUCUAAUGUGUUAACUGAAUUUGAUGAUCAUAAACUUCUUAUUUCCCUGAGGGAACUCCAGCACACCCACCAGGAAGUUUGGCCCAGAUUGAGAGCCAUUUAUGAAAACGGGCCCCCUCCUGAGCCUCAUCACUACCGACCCGGAGAUUGGGUAUACGUGCGGAGACACAAGCAAGAGACCCUCCAACCACGGUGGAAGGGACCCUACAUUGUGAUCCUAACCACACCCACUGCUCUCAAAGUCAACGGGAUUGCUACCUGGAUCCAUUACACCCACGCCCGACCAGCUGAUCCCUUUGCGGUUCGAGAAGACUUCGUGCCGGAAGCCAACACCGCCUGGACGGUUGACCAGAGUAAGACCCAUCCUUUAAAAUUGACUCUGCGUCGAAAACCUGACCCCGAAAACCAGCUGAGAUCAAAGGCCUGGGUGUCCCAUACCAAGACUGUUGCAGCAGCUCCGGACCCACAAUGAUCGGAGGAACACUCACUAGCGUGCUCCUGCUCACCUCCUACGGACUGAUAAGUAUUGCGGGCAACUCCCACAUACCCUAUACUUUAACUUGGGAGGUUUCUAAUUGGGAAACCCAUGAAGUCUAUAAUACUACCACAAAGACAGAUGUUCCCUUAAAUACCUGGUGGCCGGAUCUCUAUUUUAAUUUAGAACAGAUGGCUAAGUCAGUCGGACUAGACCACGGGAGGGGAAAGGAAACAAGAAAUUUCUUAAGCGAAACAGGGUUUUAUGCAUGCCCUGGGUUUGGACAAAAAGCUCGCUCCAUAUGUGGGGGAAUUCUCAGCUACUACUGUAAGUCCUGGAGUUGUGUCACCGCCAAUGACGGUAAAUCAAAAUGGAAGGUAACACCUCUUUACAUCGACAUGUCAUUUGUCAAGCCCUGUGACAUAGGUUUUUCCGGCCGAGGAUAUUACUCAGAAAAUUGUAACCUUGUCCGUAUCAAAUUUCUAGAAGAUGGAAAAAAAGAAACUAGAUGGACCAAUGGGCUUACUUGGGGAAUCUAUUUAUAUCGGGGACCACCCCACUAUGCAACUGUUAUUCAGAUAAAACUAAAGGUAGAACCCAAGAUUCCACCAGUGCUAGUAGGACCGAAUCUAGUAGUAAGGGCCACAAGUGAGCCUACUACUAGGGCCACAAGUGAGCCUACUACUACUACUCCAGGGCCCACAAGUAAGCCUACUAAUACCACGGGCAAGGGUCCUAGCUCUUUGGCCACUUAGGUGACCACAGUAACCAGGACCCCAAGAAAACCCCAAAAAAUUCAAAUCCCAUUCAAAGAUGACCCCUUAUGGGUAAUGAUGAAUACCACUUAUAAGGCCUUAAACCAUACUAAACCCAAUGAAACAGAAGCUUGUUAGCUGUGCUAUUCCACAAAACCUCCAUUUUACGAGUCAGUAGCAAUAGUAGGAAAUUAUAGCACUGCAAACAACUCAGACGCUUGCAGUUGGGGACAGAAAAGACCCGGCCUCACACUACCAGUGCUUAUGGGAAAUGGGACAUGUAUAGGAACAGUGCCAACAAAAUAUAGCCACUUAUGCAUAAGUAACAGAAAUAUAUUCAAUACUUCAGAAAACUGGAUUAUUCCACCAAAUAACUCAUGGUGGCUUUGUUCUCAUGCGGGAUUAACCCCUUGCCUCUAUAAGGAUAUGUUCAAUCAGUCAGAAUUCUGUAUAAUGGUAAUUGUGUUCCCAAAAAUCAUAUACCGCACAACUGAGUAUGUAGACCAGAUGUGGAUAGCACCCAAAAGAGUAACUAAGAGAGCACUCAUUACUGCAGGGGCUCUAACUCUAGCCACCAUAUUCGGACUCGGGGCCAUUGAAACAGGGACAGGGAUCUCGGCCUUAACUAUACAAAACAAGGGCUUUAGUAUACUUAGAGAAGUGGUUGACAAAGAUAUAGAAAGAAUUGAGACUGCCAUCACUUCGCUUGAAAAAUCCCUAACCUCCCUCUCGGAAGUAGUUUUACAAAACAGGAGAGGAUUAGACCUGCUGUUCCUACAGCAGGGUGGUCUCUGUGCAGCACUAGGAGAAGAGGGUUGCUUCUAUGCUGACCACACAGGAAUAGUAAGGGAUUCUAUGGCCAAGAUCCGAGAAGGGCUAGCCAAACGAAAAAAAGAAAGAGAACAGGAGGCAGGGUGGUUUGAAUCCUGGUUCAACGCGUCCCCUUGGUUAACUACCCUGCUCUCCGCUUUACUUGGGCCUCUGGCCAUUCUACUUCUCGCUCUCACAUUAGGCCCCUGCAUCAUAAACAAAAUUAUUAAUUUUAUCCAAGACAGGUUCAAUGCUGUACAAUUAAUGGUCUUACAAACUCAGUACCAACCGCUCGAGACAUUACAAAUAGAAAACUGAAGAUCCAAGAUUGGCUCUUUAGGCACAAGGAAAAGGGGGGAAUAAAAGGAACAGCUUUGAGUCCAAAUGACAGCCCUGCCUUAGUUUAAAGCUAGGUUCUCUUUUCUGCUUAUUAUAGAUCUUUGAUAAGAAAUACAAUUGCUGAGAAGUCUGUUUUGCUUGCUGUUUGCUAUGAGCAUUGUGAGACCUUUCCUGAUUGUAACCCGCUGUGUAGUAGAAUGGGCUGUAAAACUUCCUAAAUGUAGUCUGAUAUGUAAUGGAAUGAGUGAUUGUACAUAAACUAACCAGCAUUUCUCGCUUCUGUAAACCUGCUUGCUUAGCACAUUCCUCACCUACCCCCUUCCCCCUUUUUUCCUCCCGCCACAAGUAACGGACAAAGCCUUCCCGCCAAAGGACAGACAGAGGACGCCCAAUCAGAGAACAACAAAUGUCCUUACUUUAAAAUCAACUAAUCAGGCCCCUCAUAAUUUGAAACCUCCCCUGUGCUAUUUGUCUCUGUCUAUAAAAACGCUAUACCAACCCUGAUCGUGGCCUCUUAGCGUCACCGGCAACGAGUGCGCAGAGGUCCAGGUUCGAACCUGCAAUAAAUGACCCUUGCCGCUUGGCUUUGA